GCCUUAGGAUGGGUCUGCGGCCGAUUAGGUUGUUGUCGGGGUAACGGCCCAACAAGCCAGUAAUCGGUACGGGUUGUGGGAGCAAGAGCCCGGAGUUGGAUUCUGAGACACGAAUCCAGGCCCUACGGGGCGCAGCAGGCGCGAAAACUUUACAAUGCGGGCAACCGUGAUAAGGGAACCUCGAGUGCCUGUAUAUGCAGGCUGUCUGGGUGUCUAAAACACACCCAAAGAAAGGGCCGGGCAAGACCGGUGCCAGCCGCCGCGGUAAUACCGGCGGCUCGAGUGGUGGCCACUUUUAUUGGGCUUAAAGCGUUCGUAGCUGGGUUAUUAAGUCCCUUGGGAAAUCCGACGGCUUAACCGUCGGGCGUCUAAGGGAUACUGGUAAUCUUGGAACCGGGAGAGGUGAGGGGUACUUCGGGGGUAGGAGUGAAAUCCUGUAAUCCUCGAGGGACCACCUGUGGCGAAGGCGCCUCACCAGAACGGCUUCGACAGUGAGGGACGAAAGCUGGGGGAGCAAACCGGAUUAGAUACCCGGGUAGUCCCAGCCGUAAACGAUGUGCGUUAGGUGUAUCGGUGACCACGAGUCACCGAGGUGCCGAAGGGAAACCGUGAAACGUACCGCCUGGGAAGUACGGUCGCAAGGCUGAAACUUAAAGGAAUUGGCGGGGGAGCACCACA
This 678-nucleotide ribosomal RNA is filed under the name uncultured archaeon. RNAcentral's name for it is "bacterial SSU rRNA". It matches the Rfam family "Archaeal small subunit ribosomal RNA", at positions 201 to 883 of the family's 1478-position model. The record is from RNAcentral.